Perca flavescens (yellow perch) is the source of this 486-nucleotide long non-coding RNA. RefSeq lists it as uncharacterized. The transcript is spliced from 3 exons. The record is from RefSeq and is a predicted model, not a curated record. NCBI's taxonomy places the organism in Eukaryota, Metazoa, Chordata, Actinopteri, Perciformes, Percidae.
UUGGAAAACAACAAACGAACAAUAAAAGGGAACAUAUUGAACCACUAAUGAAACACAGAAUGUGAUGCUUCUCGGGGACUUCAACACUGACCGGCUACCUUGCUAAGAAGAACUAGAAGAAUGUGCGUCUGAUUACAGAGAAGAACCUCACUUGGCUCAUUCCACCUAUGACAGAUGGUGUUCCUGUUUUGGAUUUGACGUCUCUCUUCCUCCCAAAUCUGAGGGAGAUGUCUUCAGUCCAUAUAACUGAGAUCCUGCCGUAUACAAUGGUGUUAAGAAAACAUUUGACAGUUGCACCAUUGCUGGUAAAGUAAUCUUAUUACAGCAAGCUUUUAUUAUAAUUCAUUCAUCAUAUUUCUCCUCUCCAACAUUUCUUUCUUUCUUUCUUUAUAUUUCUUUCUUUCUUUCUUUAUAACCCCUUUGUUCCGGCUGUAAGCAGUCUAACAAAGUGCUAUGGGACUAAACUAGGGCUGCAGCCAGGGGCGU